This 270-nucleotide ribosomal RNA is filed under the name uncultured archaeon. RNAcentral's name for it is "partial 16S ribosomal RNA". It matches the Rfam family "Archaeal small subunit ribosomal RNA", at positions 477 to 746 of the family's 1478-position model. The record is from RNAcentral.
CAGCGCCACGAGUGGUAACCACGUUUAUUGGGCCUAAAGCGUCCGUAGCCGGUUUGAUAAAUCUUUUGUGAAAUUGUACAGCUUAACUGUACAGCGUGCAAGAGACACUGUCAAACUUGAGACCGGGAGGAGUCAGAAGUAUUCCAGAGGGAGCGGUAAAAUGUUAUAAUCUCUGGAGGACUACCUGUGGCGAAGGCGUCUGACCAGAACGGAUCUGACGGUGAGGGACGAAAGCUAGGGGAGCGAACCGGAUUAGAUACCCGAGUAGCC